CGCUCUGUAGCUCAAUAGUAGAGCACCCGGCUGAUAACCGGAAGACGUUGGAGCAUAACCAUCCAGAGCGA
RNAcentral lists this transfer RNA (71 nucleotides) under Verrucomicrobiales bacterium. RNAcentral describes it as "tRNA-Ile". It matches the Rfam family "tRNA". From Rfam's summary of the family: Transfer RNA (tRNA) molecules are approximately 80 nucleotides in length. The record is from RNAcentral. Lineage: Bacteria; Pseudomonadati; Verrucomicrobiota; Verrucomicrobiia; Verrucomicrobiales.